Molecule: ribosomal RNA, 492 nt
Filed under: uncultured bacterium
Lineage: Bacteria
Description: partial 16S ribosomal RNA
Rfam family: Bacterial small subunit ribosomal RNA
Source: RNAcentral
AGUGAACGCUGGCGGCAUGCCUAACACAUGCAAGUCGAACGGCAACACAGUAAGAGCUUGCUCUUACGGGCGGCGGGUGGAGGAAGGGUGCGGAAUACGUCGGAAUCUACUUUUUCGUGGGGGAUAACGUAGGGAAACUUACGCUAAUAUCUCAUAAGACCUACGGGUGAAAGCAGGGCAUCUUCCGACCUUGCGCGCUUGAAGGAGCCGAUGUCGGAUUAGCUAGUUGGCGGGGUAAAGGCCUACCAAGGCGACGAUCCGUAGCUGGUCUGAGAGGAUGAUCAGCCACACUGGAACUGAGACACGGUCCAGACUCCUACGGGAGGCAGCAGUGGGGAAUAUUGGACAAUGGGCGCAAGCCUGAUCCAGCCAUACCGCGUGGAGGAAGAAGGCCUUCGGGUUGUAAAGUGCUUUUGUUGGGAAAGAAAAGCAGCAGUUUAAUACCGCGCUGUUCUGACGGUACCGAAAGAAUAAGCACCGGCUAACUACGUG